Marmota marmota marmota (Alpine marmot) is the source of this 109-nucleotide small nuclear RNA. The record is from Ensembl. NCBI's taxonomy places the organism in Eukaryota, Metazoa, Chordata, Mammalia, Rodentia, Sciuridae.
GUGUUCUGGCUUUGGCAGCACAUAUACUAAAAUUGGAAUAAUACAGAGAAGAUUAGCAUAGCCCCUGAGAGAGGAUGACAGGCAAAUUUGUGAAGAGUUCUAUAUUGAA